Molecule: ribosomal RNA, 429 nt
Filed under: Pseudomonadota bacterium
Lineage: Bacteria; Pseudomonadati; Pseudomonadota
Description: Proteobacteria bacterium partial 16S ribosomal RNA
Rfam family: Bacterial small subunit ribosomal RNA
Source: RNAcentral
UGGGGAAUAUUGGACAAUGGGCGAAAGCCUGAUCCAGCCAUGCCGCGUGUGUGAAGAAGGUCUUCGGAUUGUAAAGCACUUUAAGUUGGGAGGAAGGGCAGUAAGCGAAUACCUUGCUGUUUUGACGUUACCGACAGAAUAAGCACCGGCUAACUCUGUGCCAGCAGCCGCGGUAAUACAGAGGGUGCAAGCGUUAAUCGGAAUUACUGGGCGUAAAGCGCGCGUAGGUGGUUCGUUAAGUUGAAUGUGAAAGCCCCGGGCUCAACCUGGGAACUGCAUCCAAAACUGGCGAGCUAGAGUAGGGCAGAGGGUAGUGGAAUUUCCUGUGUAGCGGUGAAAUGCGUAGAUAUAGGAAGGAACACCAGUGGCGAAGGCGACCACCUGGGCUCAUACUGACACUGAGGUGCGAAAGCGUGGGGAGCAAACAGG